This is a small nucleolar RNA of Rattus norvegicus (Norway rat), 131 nucleotides long. Ensembl annotates it as small nucleolar RNA SNORA17. Lineage: Eukaryota; Metazoa; Chordata; Mammalia; Rodentia; Muridae. The record is from Ensembl.
CCUGCCUCUACAGGCAAGGUAAGUGUGGCAGUUGAAUCAUAUGUGCAUUAGUAGGUGGCAUAGAGAAGAGGUGAUAUGUUCAUGCCCAGUAUUAUACCUGUGGGAAUAUGAAUGAUUAAUAACCUAACAUU